UCUUCAGAUGAUGAUCCCAAGCCUUCUGGCGAUCUGCUCAUAAUAACUCCUCGGAAGGUUUGAUAAGCUUUUUGGGUGGUGGGGAGCCUUUCUCUUUGUCUAGAAGGCUUUUCUUUUUGUUGUCAGAUGAUGCCGGGGAAGGUUUUUCCGGUAUUCUCCGGAGGGCUUGUAGCUCAGUUGGUUAGAGCGCGCGCUUGAUAAGCGUGAGGUCGGAGGUUCAAGUCCUCCCAGGCCCACCAAUUUAUGCUUGGCCAUAGAGCGUCUUUAACGUUUUUGAUUUUCUGUUUGGGAAGAUUGGUUUUAUCGAGUAUUUGUUUAUUGAUAUUUGGGGCGUUAAGGUGGAUGUUCAGGUGCCGAGGGUAUUCGAGCUCUUUUGUACUUUUUAGGGGCCGUAGCUCAGCUGGGAGAGCACCUGCUUUGCAAGCAGGGGGUCGUCGGUUCA
This 442-nucleotide unclassified non-coding RNA is filed under the name uncultured Bartonella sp. RNAcentral describes it as "partial 16S-23S ribosomal RNA intergenic spacer". The stretch from base 163 to 236 matches the Rfam family "tRNA". Lineage: Bacteria; Pseudomonadati; Pseudomonadota; Alphaproteobacteria; Hyphomicrobiales; Bartonellaceae. The record is from RNAcentral.